RNAcentral lists this ribosomal RNA (265 nucleotides) under uncultured bacterium. RNAcentral's name for it is "partial 16S ribosomal RNA". It matches the Rfam family "Bacterial small subunit ribosomal RNA", at positions 29 to 280 of the family's 1533-position model. The record is from RNAcentral.
AGCGAACGCUGGCGGCGUGCUUAACACAUGCAAGUCGAGCGAGAAAGUCCCGCAAGGGAUGAGUACAGCGGCGAACGGGUGCGUAACACGUGGGCAAUCUACCCUUGAGAUGGGGAUAACCCAGCGAAAGUUGGGCUAAUACCGGAUAAGACCACAGGAGGCAACUCCAGAGGUCAAAGGGCGCUUUCUUUUGGGAGCGCUCGCUUAGGGAGGAGCCCGCGGCCUAUCAGCUUGUUGGUAGGUAAUGGCCUACCAAGGCGAAGAC